UCCGAGUUGACCCCGGCAGUCUCCUACGAGUCCCCGGCAUUAUCCGCUUUAACUAGCAUGUCAAACCCAGGUAAGGUUCUUCGCGUUGCAUCGAAUUAAGCCACAUGCUCCGCCGCUUGUGCGGGUCCCCGUCAAUUCCUUUGAGUUUUAGCCUUGCGGCCGUACUCCCCAGGCGGAGUGCUUAAUGCGUUAGCUGCGGCACAGAGAGGGUUGAAGACCUCCCCACACCUAGCACUCAACGUUUACGGCUGGGACUAC
RNAcentral lists this unclassified non-coding RNA (258 nucleotides) under uncultured Actinomycetes bacterium. Its description in RNAcentral is "uncultured actinobacterium contains 16S-23S intergenic spacer region". The record is from RNAcentral. Lineage: Bacteria; Bacillati; Actinomycetota; Actinomycetes.